GACAGAGGCAUCGAGCGUUAGGCGGAAUCACUGGGCUUAAAGCGUGUGUAGGCGGAUCGUUAAGUGUCUUGAGAAAUCCCACGGCUCAACCGUGGAACGGCUGGGCAUACUGGCGAUCUUGAGCAGCCUAGGGGCGACCGGAACAAACGGUGGAGCGGUGAAAUGCGUAGAUAUCAGGAGGAACACCCGUAGCGAAGGCGGCACACUGGGCCGAUACUGACGCUGAGGAGCGAAAGCGUGGGGAGCGAACAGG
Molecule: ribosomal RNA, 253 nt
Filed under: uncultured bacterium
Lineage: Bacteria
Description: partial 16S ribosomal RNA
Rfam family: Bacterial small subunit ribosomal RNA
Source: RNAcentral